AACGAACGCUGGCGGCAGGCCUAACACAUGCAAGUCGAGCGAGGACUUCGGUUCUAGCGGCGGACGGGUGAGUAACGCGUGGGAAUGUGCCCUUCUCUACGGAAUAGCCGUGGGAAACUGGGAGUAAUACCGUAUACGCCCUAUUGGGGAAAGAUUUAUCGGGGAAGGAUCAGCCCGCGUUGGCUUGGGUGGUUGGUGGGGUAAUGGCCUACCAACCAGACGUUGCAUAGCUGGUUGGAUAGGAUGAUCCGCCACACUGGGGCUGAGACACGGCCCAGACUCCUACGCGAGGGAGCGGUAGGGAGUCUUAGGCGAUGGGGGCAAACCUAGUAUCGCCGUGCCCCGGAAGAGAUGAAUGCCUUAGGGUUGUAAAGCUCUUUCAGCUGGGAAGAUAAUGACGGUACCAGCAGAAGAAGCCCCGGCUAACUCCGUG
Molecule: ribosomal RNA, 433 nt
Filed under: uncultured bacterium
Lineage: Bacteria
Description: partial 16S ribosomal RNA
Rfam family: Bacterial small subunit ribosomal RNA
Source: RNAcentral